AGCAGCCGCGGUAAUUCCAGCUCCAAUAGCGUAUAUUAAAGUUGUUGCAGUUAAAAAGCUCGUAGUUGAAUUUCGGGAUCAAUUAAUUGGUCGUGCCUCUGGUACGUACUGAUUUUAUUGGUUUCUCCCUUCUGACGAACCAUGAUGUCAUUAAUUUGGUGUCGUGGAGAAUCAGGACUGUUACUUUGAAAAAAUUAGAGUGUUUAAAGCAAGCUAACGCUUGAAUACAUUAGCAUGGAAUAAUGAAAUAGGACGUUUGAUCCUAUUUUGUUGGUUUCUAGGAUCGACGUAAUGAUUAAUAGGGAUAGUUGGGGGCAUUAGUAUUCAAUUGUCAGAGGUGAAAUUCUUGGAUUUAUUGAAGACUAACUACUGCGAAAGCAUUUGCCAAGGAUGUUUUCAUUAAUCAAGAACGAAAGUUAGGGGAUCGAAGACGAUCAGAUACCGUCGUAGUCUUAACCAUAAACUAUGCCGACUAGGGAUCGGAUGAUGUUAAUUUUUUAAUGACUCA
This 508-nucleotide ribosomal RNA is filed under the name uncultured Glomus. RNAcentral describes it as "SSU rRNA". It matches the Rfam family "Eukaryotic small subunit ribosomal RNA", at positions 569 to 1078 of the family's 1831-position model. The record is from RNAcentral. Lineage: Eukaryota; Fungi; Glomeromycota; Glomeromycetes; Glomerales; Glomeraceae.